This 1343-nucleotide ribosomal RNA is filed under the name uncultured bacterium. RNAcentral's name for it is "16S ribosomal RNA". It matches the Rfam family "Bacterial small subunit ribosomal RNA", at positions 28 to 1378 of the family's 1533-position model. The record is from RNAcentral.
GACGAACGUUGGCGGCGUGCUUAACACAUGCAAGUCGAACGGAAAGGCCCUGCUUUUGUGGGGUGCUCGAGUGGCGAACGGGUGAGUAACACGUGAGUAACCUGCCCUUGACUUUGGGAUAACUUCAGGAAACUGGGGCUAAUACCGGAUAGGAGCUCCUGCUGCAUGGUGGGGGUUGGAAAGUUUCGGCGGUUGGGGAUGGACUCGCGGCUUAUCAGCUUGUUGGUGGGGUAGUGGCUUACCAAGGCUUUGACGGGUAGCCGGCCUGAGAGGGUGACCGGCCACAUUGGGACUGAGAUACGGCCCAGACUCCUACGGGAGGCAGCAGUGGGGAAUAUUGCACAAUGGGCGGAAGCCUGAUGCAGCAACGCCGCGUGCGGGAUGACGGCCUUCGGGUUGUAAACCGCUUUCGCCUGUGACGAAGCGUGAGUGACGGUAAUGGGUAAAGAAGCACCGGCUAACUACGUGCCAGCAGCCGCGGUGAUACGUAGGGUGCGAGCGUUGUCCGGAUUUAUUGGGCGUAAAGGGCUCGUAGGUGGUUGAUCGCGUCGGAAGUGUAAUCUUGGGGCUUAACCCUGAGCGUGCUUUCGAUACGGGUUGACUUGAGGAAGGUAGGGGAGAAUGGAAUUCCUGGUGGAGCGGUGGAAUGCGCAGAUAUCAGGAGGAACACCAGUGGCGAAGGCGGUCCUCUGGGCCUUUCCUGACGCUGAGGAGCGAAAGCGUGGGGAGCGAACAGGCUUAGAUACCCUGGUAGUCCACGCUGUAAACGGUGGGUACUAGGUGUGGGGUCCAUUCCACGGGUUCCGUGCCGUAGCUAACGCUUUAAGUACCCCGCCUGGGGAGUACGGCCGCAAGGCUAAAACUCAAAGGAAUUGACGGGGCCCCGCACAAGCGGCGGAGCAUGCGGAUUAAUUCGAUGCAACGCGUAGAACCUUACCUGGGUUUGACAUGGAUCGGGAGUGCUCAGAGAUGGGUGUGCCUCUUUUGGGGUCGGUUCACAGGUGGUGCAUGGCUGUCGUCAGCUCGUGUCGUGAGAUGUUGGGUUAAGUCCCGCAACGAGCGCAACCCUUGUUCACUGUUGCCAGCACGUUAUGGUGGGGACUCAGUGGAGACCGCCGGGGUCAACUCGGAGGAAGGUGGGGAUGACGUCAAGUCAUCAUGCCCCUUAUGUCCAGGGCUUCACGCAUGCUACAAUGGCUGGUACAGAGAGUGGCGAGCCUGUGAGGGUGAGCGAAUCUCGGAAAGCCGGUCUCAGUUCGGAUUGGGGUCUGCAACUCGACCUCAUGAAGUCGGAGUCGCUAGUAAUCGCAGAUCAGCAACGCUGCGGUGAAUACGUUCCCGGG